This 633-nucleotide non-coding RNA is filed under the name Pan troglodytes (chimpanzee). The record is from RNAcentral. Lineage: Eukaryota; Metazoa; Chordata; Mammalia; Primates; Hominidae.
CUCUGCCUCCUGAACAACCCUGAUGCUUCCCUGUGUGGUCCCUUGUGGCACAGAGUGCCCCCUCUUCUCAGGAACUAUGGUGAUGGCCAGGGUGCACAAGACCCCGGUGAAGGAUGGGAAAAAGAGCAAGAAGAUGAAGAAAGUCAUCAUCUGUGAGGCCCGCCAGGCUUUGCUCGGAGGCUGGAAAUUCAUCAUCAGGCUGAUCUGAAGAGAGAGAGGCAGCCACCUCCCAUCUGCAGCCGGAGCAGCGGCAGAGGGACCCCAGCCAGGCCUGGCUUCCUGACACCUUUGCAGAGCCCCCUUCCCCAGCUUUAAGCGCCACCAGGUCACAGGCGACUGAACAAAGCUGAUUGAUGGCAACGUCAGACUGACUCACAUUUUUGGAGUAGAACAUGAUGAAAAGCAUAAUCAUUUGGAUAAAGGGCAACAGGGGGCAGAAGAAGAUUCCAAUCCUGUGAGGGAGAGAGGUAGAGACGGGAUUUCACCACGUUAGCCAGGAUGGUCUCGAUCUCCUGACCUCGUGAUCCACCCGCCUCGGCCUCCCAAAGUGCUGGGAUUACAGGCGUGAGCCACCACACCCAGCUAAUGUGUGUCACUUCUAAUCUGGAGCACUUAAUGCCCCUGUGAGACUCU